CACGUAGGGGGCGAGCGUUGUCCGGAAUCAUUGGGCGUAAAGCGCGCGUAGGCGGCCAGAUAAGUCCGGUGUGAAAGUCAAAGGCUCAACCUUUGAAUGCCGCUGGAAACUGUCUGGCUUGAGUCCGGAAGGGGCGAGUGGAAUUCCUGGUGUAGCGGUGAAAUGCGCAGAUAUCUGGAGGAACACCGGUGGCGAAGGCGGCAUCCUGGACCAUUACUGACACUGAAAAGCGAAAGCCAGGGGAGCAAACGGG
This 253-nucleotide ribosomal RNA is filed under the name uncultured bacterium. Its description in RNAcentral is "partial 16S ribosomal RNA". It matches the Rfam family "Bacterial small subunit ribosomal RNA", at positions 524 to 776 of the family's 1533-position model. The record is from RNAcentral.